GUCUGACUAUCUUGAACAUGAGGUCAAGAACCAAAUUAUCCUUGAAAACGAUUGCCAAAUAUCCUGUCUUAAAUUUCCUUUUAAUUUGUAUAUUCCUUUUCACCUAAGCACCGCAGAAUGACUUUUUCAUAUGUGGGUAUUAAAUAAAUGUGAUUCAUUUCUCUGCAUGAGAAGAAAAAUAUGUCAGAUGAUAUUACUAUUUUUCUGUAUCUUCCAACCUGACCACUUGUGGUUCUAAAAUAAAAGUCUCCACGAUGUUGAGUAGCAGUUAAGAAUUAAAGUGGUUUCUCUAUUUUCCGUUAGGCACGAGCAGUUUUUUUUGGAAAACAAGUUGUAAAGUUAUUUCAGGGGUAGGAUACAGGGCUUGGCCCUUCUCAAAGCCUGCAGCUUGGUGGCCAAAGCAGCAACAGCACAGUAUUUAAAGUCUCCUGUCCUCUUUAAGAUGUUUGUUUAAAGGAUUCUGGUGUUUAAGGCUCCUGGCUCUG
RNAcentral lists this long non-coding RNA (485 nucleotides) under Bos taurus (domestic cattle). RNAcentral describes it as "long non-coding RNA NONBTAT015053". Lineage: Eukaryota; Metazoa; Chordata; Mammalia; Artiodactyla; Bovidae. The record is from RNAcentral.